Molecule: ribosomal RNA, 800 nt
Filed under: uncultured bacterium
Lineage: Bacteria
Description: bacterial SSU rRNA
Rfam family: Bacterial small subunit ribosomal RNA
Source: RNAcentral
AGAGUUUGAUCAUGGCUCAGGAUAAACGCUGGCGGCGCACAUAAGACAUGCAAGUCGAGCGAACUUAACCAUAAGUUUACUUUUGGAGCGGUUAGUGGCGGACUGGUGAGUAACACGUAAGCAACCUACCUAACAGAGGGGAAUAACAGUUAGAAAUGACUGCUAAUACCGCAUAUGCCUUGAGUAUCGCAUGGUACAAGAGGGAAAGGAGAAAUCCGCUGAUAGAUGGGCUUGCGUCUGAUUAGCUAGUUGGUGGAGUAACGGCCUACCAAGGCAACGAUCAGUAGCCGGACUGAGAGGUUGAACGGCCACAUUGGGACUGAGAUACGGCCCAGACUCCUACGGGAGGCAGCAGUCGGGAAUAUUGCGCAAUGGAGGAAACUCUGACGCAGUGACGCCGCGUGCAGGAAGAAGGUCUUCGGAUUGUAAACUGCUUUAGACAGGGAAGAUAGCAGACAGUACCUGUAGAAUAAGCUCCGGCUAACUACGUGCCAGCAGCCGCGGUAAUACGUAGGGAGCAAGCGUUAUCCGGAUUUAUUGGGUGUAAAGGGUGCGUAGACGGGAAGGCAAGUUGGUUGUGAAAUCCCUCGGCUUAACUGAGGAACUGCAACCAAAACUACAUUUCUUGAGUGCUGGAGAGGAAAGUGGAAUUCCUAGUGUAGCGGUGAAAUGCGUAGAUAUUAGGAGGAACACCAGUGGCGAAGGCGACUUACUGGACUGUAACUGACGUUGAGGCUCGAAAGCGUGGGGAGCAAACAGGAUUAGAUACCCUGGUAGUCCACGCCGUAAACGAUGAUUAC